GAUGAACGCUAGCUACAGGCUUAACACAUGCAAGUCGAGGGGUAACAAGAGGAAAGCUUGCUUUUCUUGUUGACGACCGGCGCACGGGUGAGUAACGCGUAUCCAACCUGCCUAUAACUAGGGAAUAACCUUGCGAAAGUAAGACUAAUACCCUAUGAUUUCCUUUGAUGACAUCAGAUUAGGAAUAAAGAUUUAUCGGUUAUAGAUGGGGAUGCGUCUGAUUAGCUUGUUGGCGGGGUAACGGCCCACCAAGGCAACGAUCAGUAGGGGUUUUGAGAGGAAGGUCCCCCACAUUGAAACUGAGACACGGUCCAAACUCCUACGGGAGGCAGCAGUGAGGAAUAUUGGUCAAGGGGCGGAAGCCUGAACCAGCCAAGUAGCGUGCAGGAUGACGGCCCUAUGGGUUGUAAACUGCUUUUAUACAGGAAUAAAGUUAGCCACGUGUGGUUAUUUGUAGGUACUGUAUGAAUAAGGACCGGCUAAUUCCGUGCCAGCAGCCGCCGUAA
RNAcentral lists this ribosomal RNA (506 nucleotides) under uncultured bacterium. RNAcentral's name for it is "partial 16S ribosomal RNA". It matches the Rfam family "Bacterial small subunit ribosomal RNA", at positions 28 to 523 of the family's 1533-position model. The record is from RNAcentral.